This is a non-coding RNA of Pelobates cultripes (western spadefoot toad), 236 nucleotides long. NCBI's taxonomy places the organism in Eukaryota, Metazoa, Chordata, Amphibia, Anura, Pelobatidae. The record is from the annotation of a GenBank genome assembly.
GUUAUCGAUGGCUCACUCUAACUUCCCAGAUUUUUUUGAACUACAUUUCCCAAAAUGCUCAGCCAGAUUAGAUUAAAAUUGUAUAUUACAGGAGGUAAAGCUUAUGAAGACAAGCUCAUUUCCAAUGUAUCUUAAGGAGUGGAAAUUAUUUUAAAAAUUGGGGCCCAUAUACAAAGAGUAUAGGCAUUCCAAGACAUUAAACGCAGUGGUAAUAGCACUAUUUAUGCCAUGUGUUU